Molecule: ribosomal RNA, 254 nt
Filed under: uncultured bacterium
Lineage: Bacteria
Description: partial 16S ribosomal RNA
Rfam family: Bacterial small subunit ribosomal RNA
Source: RNAcentral
UACGUAGGGGGCGAGCGUUGUCCGGAAUUAUUGGGCGUAAAGAGCUCGUAGGCGGCUUGGCAAGUCGGAUGUGAAAACUCCAGGCUCAACCUGGAGCCGCCAUUUGAUACUGCUAUGGCUAGAGUCCGGUAGGGGAGUGUGGAAUUCCCGGUGUAGCGGUGAAAUGCGCCGAUAUCGGGAGGAACACCGAUGGCGAAGGCAGCACUCUGGGCCGGCACUGACGCUGAGGAGCGAAAGCGUGGGGAGCGAACAGG